Molecule: ribosomal RNA, 460 nt
Filed under: uncultured bacterium
Lineage: Bacteria
Description: bacterial SSU rRNA
Rfam family: Bacterial small subunit ribosomal RNA
Source: RNAcentral
GAUGAACGUUGGCGGUGUGCCUAAUACAUGCAAGUCGAACGAAGUUGAUAGCGAUAUUAGCUUAGUGGCGAACGGGUGAGUAACGCGUUGGUGAUCUGCCUUGAAGUGUGGAAUAACGUUUCGAAAGGAACGCUAAUACCGCAUGUGCUCUCGAUUUUCAGAAAGUUGAGAGUAAAGGAUUUAUUCGCUUCAAGAGGAGCCUGCGUCCCAUCAGCUGGUUGGUAGGGUAACGGCCUACCAAGGCUAUGACGGGUAGGGGACCUGAGAGGGUGGCCCCCGACAAUGGAACUGAAACACGGUCCAUACACCUACGGGUGGCAGCAGUAGGGAAUAUUAGAAAUGGACGAAAGUCUGAUCUAGCAACACCGCGUGUGCGAAGAAGGGCCUUCGGGUCGUAAAGCACUUUUUGGAAGGAAUAGGAAGGAAUGUACUUCCAGAAUAAGUCUCGGCUAACUACGUG